This 66-nucleotide transfer RNA is filed under the name Succinea putris (European ambersnail). RNAcentral describes it as "tRNA-Asp". The record is from RNAcentral. Lineage: Eukaryota; Metazoa; Mollusca; Gastropoda; Stylommatophora; Succineidae.
UUUUAUUUAAUUUAGUAAAAAAUAUUUAUUUGUCAAAUAAAAAAUCUUAUUUUAUAAGAGUAACUA